CCUACGGGUGGCAGCAGUGAGGAAUAUUGGUCAAUGGACGCGAGCCUGAACCAGCCAAGUAGCGUGAAGGAUGACUGCCCUACGGGUUGUAAACUUCUUUUGUAAAGGAAUAAAGUGAGGCACGUGUGUCUUUCUGUAUGUACUUUAUGAAUAAGGAUCGGCUAACUCCGUGCCAGCAGCCGCGGUAAUACGGAGGAUCCGAGCGUUAUCCGGAUUUAUUGGGUUUAAAGGGAGCGUAGAUGGGUUGUUAAGUCAGAUGUGAAAGUCUGCGGCUCAACCGUAGAAUUGCAAUUGAUACUGGCAGUCUCGAGUACAGUUGAGGUAGGCGGAAUUCGUGGUGUAGCGGUGAAAUGCUUAGAUAUCACGAAGAACUCCGAUUGCGAAGGCAGCUUACUAAACUACCACUGACGUUGAGGCUCGAAAGUGUGGGUAUCAAACAGGAUUAGAUACCCGUGUAGUC
This 460-nucleotide ribosomal RNA is filed under the name uncultured bacterium. RNAcentral describes it as "partial 16S ribosomal RNA". It matches the Rfam family "Bacterial small subunit ribosomal RNA", at positions 338 to 795 of the family's 1533-position model. The record is from RNAcentral.